This 253-nucleotide ribosomal RNA is filed under the name uncultured bacterium. RNAcentral's name for it is "partial 16S ribosomal RNA". It matches the Rfam family "Bacterial small subunit ribosomal RNA", at positions 524 to 776 of the family's 1533-position model. The record is from RNAcentral.
UACGGGGGGGGCAAGCGUUGUCCGGAAUCAUUGGGCGUAAAGAGCGUGUAGGCGGUCCUGUAAGUCCGCUGUGAAAGUCAAGGGCUCAACCCUUGAAUGCCGGUGGAUACUGCAGGACUAGAGUCCGGAAGAGGCGAGUGGAAUUCCUGGUGUAGCGGUGAAAUGCGCAGAUAUCAGGAGGAACACCAAUGGCGAAGGCAGCUCGCUGGGACGGUAUUGACGCUGAGACGCGAAAGCGUGGGGAGCAAACAGG